UCCUCGGUAGUAUAGUGGUCAGUAUCCUGCCUGUCACGCGGGAGACCGGGGUUCAGUUCCCCGCCGAGGGG
Trichonephila inaurata madagascariensis is the source of this 71-nucleotide non-coding RNA. The record is from the annotation of a GenBank genome assembly. Lineage: Eukaryota; Metazoa; Arthropoda; Arachnida; Araneae; Nephilidae.